GACGAACGCUGGCGGCGUGCUUAACACAUGCAAGUCGAGCGGUAAGGCCCUUUCGGGGGUACACGAGCGGCGAACGGGUGAGUAACACGUGGGUGACCUGCCCUCAGCUCUGGGAUAAGCCUGGGAAACUGGGUCUAAUACUGGAUAUGACUCCACGGUGCAUGUCGUGGGGUGGAAAGCCUUGUGCGGCUGAGGAUGGGCCCGCGGCCUAUCAGCUUGUUGGUGGGGUGANGGCCUACCAAGGUGACGACGGGUAGCCGGCCUGAGAGGGCGACCGGCCACACUGGGACUGAGACACGGCCCAGACUCCUACGGGAGGCAGCAGUGGGGAAUCUUGCGCAAUGGGCGAAAGCCUGACGCAGCGACGCCGCGUGAGGGAUGACGGCCUCGGUGUAAC
Molecule: ribosomal RNA, 397 nt
Filed under: uncultured bacterium
Lineage: Bacteria
Description: bacterial SSU rRNA
Rfam family: Bacterial small subunit ribosomal RNA
Source: RNAcentral